Molecule: non-coding RNA, 95 nt
Organism: Prunus avium (sweet cherry)
Lineage: Eukaryota; Viridiplantae; Streptophyta; Magnoliopsida; Rosales; Rosaceae
Source: RefSeq, a predicted model, not a curated record
AAGACCGGUUACUUUAACUUUCUGAAAAUAAAGGGCAAUGAAAUGAAGCAACAAAAAAUAGUGGAGAAAGUGGAUACAAAGACGAAGAAGGAAAU